UUGACCUCGGAUCAGGUAGGGAUACCCGCUGAACUUAAGCAUAUCAAUAAGCGGAGGAAAAGAAACCAACAGGGAUUGCCCCAGUAACGGCGAGUGAAGCGGCAAGAGCUCAAAUUUGAAAGCUGGCUCCUUCGGGGUCCGCAUUGUAAUUUGCAGAGGAUGCUUCGGGAGCGGUCCCCAUCUAAGUGCCCUGGAACGGGACGUCAUAGAGGGUGAGAAUCCCGUAUGGGAUGGGGUGUCCGCGCCCGUGUGAAGCUCCUUCGACGAGUCGAGUUGUUUGGGAAUGCAGCUCUAAAUGGGUGGUAAAUUUCAUCUAAAGCUAAAUAUUGGCCGGAGACCGAUAGCGCACAAGUAGAGUGAUCGAAAGAUGAAAAGCACUUUGAAAAGAGAGUUAAAAAGCACGUGAAAUUGUUGAAAGGGAAGCGCUUGCGACCAGACUCGCUCGCGGGGUUCAGCCGGCAUUCGUGCCGGUGUACUUCCCCGCGAGCGGGCCAGCGUCGGUUUGGGCGGUCGGUCAAAGGCCUCUGGAAGGUAACGCCCCCUCGGGGGCGUCUUAUAGCCAGGGGUGCAAUGCGGCCUGCCCGGACCGAGGAACGCGCUUCGGCUCGGACGC
RNAcentral lists this ribosomal RNA (613 nucleotides) under Penicillium brevicompactum. Its description in RNAcentral is "eukaryotic LSU rRNA". It matches the Rfam family "Eukaryotic large subunit ribosomal RNA", at positions 1 to 626 of the family's 3401-position model. The record is from RNAcentral. Lineage: Eukaryota; Fungi; Ascomycota; Eurotiomycetes; Eurotiales; Aspergillaceae.